UAAUACGUAGGGGGCUAGCGUUGUCCGGAAUCAUUGGGCGUAAAGAGCGCGUAGGCGGCCCGGUAAGUCCGCUGUGAAAGUCAAAGGCUCAACCUUUGAAUGUCAGCGGAUACUGCCGGGCUAGAGUCCGGAAGAGGCGAGUGGAACUCCUGGUGUAGCGGUGGAAUGCGCAGAUAUCAGGAAGAACACCAACGGCGAAGGCAGCUCGCUAGGACGGUACUGACGCUGAG
This 230-nucleotide ribosomal RNA is filed under the name uncultured bacterium. RNAcentral's name for it is "partial 16S ribosomal RNA". It matches the Rfam family "Bacterial small subunit ribosomal RNA", at positions 521 to 750 of the family's 1533-position model. The record is from RNAcentral.